CCUACGGGUGGCAGCAGUGGGGAAUAUUGCACAAUGGGCGCAAGCCUGAUGCAGCCAUGCCGCGUGUGUGAAGAAGGCCUUCGGGUUGUAAAGCACUUUCAGCGGGGAGGAAGGCGUUAAGGUUAAUAACCUUGUCGAUUGACGUUACCCGCAGAAGAAGCACCGGCUAACUCCGUGCCAGCAGCCGCGGUAAUACGGAGGGUGCAAGCGUUAAUCGGAAUUACUGGGCGUAAAGCGCACGCAGGCGGUCUGUCAAGUCGGAUGUGAAAUCCCCGGGCUCAACCUGGGAACUGCAUUCGAAACUGGCAGGCUAGAGUAUUGUAGAGGGGGGUAGAAUUCCAGGUGUAGCGGUGAAAUGCGUAGAGAUCUGGAGGAAUACCGGUGGCGAAGGCGGCCCCCUGGACAAAGACUGACGCUCAGGUGCGAAAGCGUGGGGAGCAAACAGGAUUAGAUACCCGAGUAGUC
This 465-nucleotide ribosomal RNA is filed under the name uncultured Klebsiella sp. RNAcentral's name for it is "bacterial SSU rRNA". It matches the Rfam family "Bacterial small subunit ribosomal RNA", at positions 338 to 795 of the family's 1533-position model. The record is from RNAcentral. Lineage: Bacteria; Pseudomonadati; Pseudomonadota; Gammaproteobacteria; Enterobacterales; Enterobacteriaceae.